RNAcentral lists this long non-coding RNA (798 nucleotides) under Brassica rapa (field mustard). Its description in RNAcentral is "long non-coding RNA (BRAP_LNC004505)". Lineage: Eukaryota; Viridiplantae; Streptophyta; Magnoliopsida; Brassicales; Brassicaceae. The record is from RNAcentral.
GAAAGCACCGCUUUACAGAUAUAUAUGUAGAUAAAAUUCGAGUUAGUAAAAAUAAUCUUAAACACUCGACCAUAGCAAUAAUACAACAAUCACUAUCUUUACAUAGGUUCAUUUGUUCGAAUUAUUAAUCUUUAAAUAAUUUAUUUGCUUUACACACUGUAGAUUUUAUGAGAGCACAUUAAUUGUAUACAUACACUCAUUCAAAAUCUUUGAAUUGUUAUACUAAUAAGGUUGUUAUUGAUAUUUGGUAUUAGUGGAUUACUGAUAAAAAGAUAAACCAGAGGAACAUGUUCUUGAUUCCUGAAGCGAUGGUUGUUAUCUGUAACCCUUCAGUUUUUUUAUGGAAUCACUUCAGCGUUCACCUUUUAGUGGUUUUAGGGCAUCUUUAUUGGUGGGAUGAAGAGAGAGAGGGAGAGAGUCCCUUGUUUUGCUUUUUUUUUUUUUUUUUUUUUGGUCAUUAAAGAGUAAGGGACAGCCCUUAAUUAAGGGCUUUUCCCUUUUCUUUCUUCCUCGGUUCCCACCCCCUUUCUCUAAGGGAUGCCUUAAGGAACCCCCAAUACAGAUGCCCUUAGUAUCUUGAUUUCUUUUGAAAGCCGAGAAAACUCGUUUUGCUGUCUUCCCUUUCAGUGAAUAGAAUAACAACUUAUUACGCCAAUAUUUUUUCAUUUCCUAAUGUUCCGAUUCUUGCUCUAUGUUAGCCUUCUGGAAAAUCAAGGACCACAUACAUAAUUUUCUCUAAAGAUGAAUCCACAUCACAUGUCGAGUUAUAUAAUUAUGGUGUUGUGUAGUGCCUACUCC